GACGAACGCUGGCGGCGUGCCUAACACAUGCAAGUCGAACGAGAAUCUUUGAACAGAUCUUUUCGGAGUGACGUUCAAAGAGGAAAGUGGCGGACGGGCGAGUAACGCGUGAGUAACCUGCCCAUAAGAGGGGGAUAAUCCAUGGAAACGUGGACUAAUACCGCGUAUUGUAGUUAAGUUGCAUGACUUGAUUAUGAAAGAUUUAUCGCUUAUGGAUGGACUCGCGUCAGAUUAGAUAGUUGGUGAGGUAACGGCUCACCAAGUCAACGAUCUGUAGCCGAACUGAGAGGUUGAUCGGCCGCAUUGGGACUGAGACACGGCCCAGACUCCUACGGGAGGCAGCAGUGGGGAAUAUUGCGCAAUGGGGGCAACCCUGACGCAGCAACGCCGCGUGCAGGAAGAAGGUCUUCGGAUUGUAAACUGUUGUCGCAAG
This 433-nucleotide ribosomal RNA is filed under the name uncultured bacterium. RNAcentral's name for it is "bacterial SSU rRNA". It matches the Rfam family "Bacterial small subunit ribosomal RNA", at positions 28 to 442 of the family's 1533-position model. The record is from RNAcentral.